CGUUAGCGGCGGACGGGUGAGUAACACGUGGGUAACCUACCUAUAAGACUGGGAUAACUCCGGGAAACCGGGGCUAAUACCGGAUAAUACAUGAAACCGCAUGGUUUCAUGAUGAAAGACGGUUUUGCUAUCACUUAUAGAUGGACCCGCGCCGUAUUAGCUAGUUGAUAAGGUAACGGCUUACCAAGGCGACGAUACGUAGCCGACCUGAGAGGGUGAUCGGCCACACUGGAACUGAGACACGGUCCAG
This 250-nucleotide ribosomal RNA is filed under the name uncultured Staphylococcus sp. Its description in RNAcentral is "partial 16S ribosomal RNA". It matches the Rfam family "Bacterial small subunit ribosomal RNA", at positions 90 to 334 of the family's 1533-position model. Lineage: Bacteria; Bacillati; Bacillota; Bacilli; Caryophanales; Staphylococcaceae. The record is from RNAcentral.